RNAcentral lists this long non-coding RNA (10422 nucleotides) under Malus domestica (apple). The record is from RNAcentral. Lineage: Eukaryota; Viridiplantae; Streptophyta; Magnoliopsida; Rosales; Rosaceae.
UCUGGGACCCAGGCAUCCCGGUGGACGUCGGGUUGAUGGCCCAGGCGAUCCAGCCGUCGGAUUUGGAGGGUGGCGAGAUGAAGGCGAUAGAGAGAGUGGAGUUGGCGGGGUCGUAGGUCCAGUGGAGGAAGGAGCUGAGGACGGGGAGGUCGGCGCAUUUCGAGUAGAGCUUGUUGUUGGCGAAGGUUUGGGAGGUGCAGGUGAGGGAAAGCGCGGGUGAGAUAAGCAAAAGGAGGGUGAGCGGUAGAAAUAUUGAGAGAGAAGAGGAGGAGGAAGAAGAAGCCAUGGAUGAGUAAACUGCUAAUGGUGGUUGAUGAAUAAAGGCUUACUACUAAUUUUGGCAGAAUUUAUAGUGACAGUUACGACAGUGAGAAAUCCUCUAUGGGGAAAUUUUUUAUUUUGACGGGACAUGGAUGGUAAAUCACGUAUUUUAUGUAAGUGGUAAGAAAUUUUACUUUUUAAGUGUGACCAAUAUACGAGGUAGUAUACCACAUGUCAUUAUACAAAUGGUGAAAUGUGUGUGUUAAAAUGUUAAUAACUUAAAAAGUAAAAUUUUCUACCACUUACAUAAAAACACGUAAUUACUAUCCAUGUUCCUGUCAUAAUAAAAAAUUUCUCCUCUGUGAUGCUUUCAAAAAAAUGAAAACAACCACCUGAAAGUCGACACGUGGGCAAAACUGAAUAAAUAGUUAUUUAGAAAAUUGGCCAAAAUAAUGGUAUUUCAAAUUUCGAUACCCUAGCUGAAAUGAUCAAAUUUUCAAUAUGUUGUAUAUAUAUGAUUGUUGUAUCAUCACCCUUUGUUCUUUAUGCUGUCCAAUAUGUUGUAUAUAUAUGAUUGUUGUAUCAUCACCCUUUGUUCUUUAUGCUGUCGAUAUUUAAAUUUGGUCAGUCCAACAAUUUAUAAUUUGAUUUUGAUUCAUUUUAGCUAAUUUUAUUUAUUAUUUAUUUGGAUUUUCACCUUUUUUUCUUCGAUUUAGUUCAUAUAUUUUCAUUUAGUAUUGCCAGUCUAAUAUGGCAAAAUUUCGGCCACGUUGGCUUUUCGAAUGAGAGCGUAAUGAAUAGGAAAAUCAACUUAGCUGAAUGGAGUAGCUCAAGUAAAAACAUGACGAAAUUAUAAGGACGAAAUUGAAAUUCAGAUAAAUUUAUCGGGAAUAUUGUUGAAAUUUAACAAAGAAUAAAUAGGAAGCAUGUGUGCGAUGCUUGAAAGUUGAAACAGAACUAAUGUCCUUAAAAAAAUAGUGAGGGGAAUGAGAGAGCCAAAUAACAAUUAACGUAAACUUGUACGAACCUAAUUAAUUAAAUAAAGAUCCAAGAAUCCUGCUUUUCUUCUUCUCUUUUCUGUCUUUUUUGUUUUAAAUUGCUGAAAUCAAUGGAUUCUGUUUUAGACGUCGCUUAAAUUCAGUAAGAGAAAUGCUAAUGAUACUCUCUCAAAAGUGAGAUUCUUUAUGAACUCUUCGUCAUCUUAUAUUUUUUACACAAAAAAUUGUGUCAAAAAUGUGAGAUGGUAAAAAGUCCAUAAAAUCCUACUUUAAAAGUGUCUAUUUAGCCUUUCUCAUUCAGCAAACUUGUCAACUCUUCAAUGUGCAUUAAUUUUGUGGUGAGUGUAAGAGGAAAAUAAUUUAUUUGUAAUGGAUAAUAGAGUAAAAUUAGGGGAAUAAAUAAACCCAAAAAUGAAGAGAACCAACUUUAUGGAGUAAAGGAGAAUGGACUGUAGCGUCAAGCAACUGCAUUUUUGAACAUUUUGUUUUAUUAUUAGAAAAGAAUCUGGUCUAUUUAAUUGGGAAUUUUGGGAUUAUAUGCCAACUACUUUAGCGAUUUUUAGCCUACCAGAUGUGACUGUGAGCUGAUGCAAGGUUUAGGUCAUGGUGAUAUCAAUAUUCCUCUAUAUUUCACAUAUUUUUAGGAAAAUCCAAGUUGUAUAUAAGAAAAUAAGAUUGUGAUAUUUCUUUUUAUUUUUCCCAUACAAAUUGUUCUAGGAGUUGUGGUGAAUAACAAAUUAAAAUUAUUUGGCUAGUAGAUCGGGGGCAUCAGGAACGUAGAUGUUUUUCUUUCGAAGGUAAGAAAAUUCGCUCCGAAGUAGACUUCUCAGAGACAUUUUGGGCUGUAGCUCGCAGGGGGCACAUAUUUUCAGAGUUGCACAAUUUCUGGCAAAGCUUUCCCCCUAAUGGUCAAUCAUUGCCUUUGGCGCCACUGUAUGGAAGAGAUGCACAAACUUGAAUAACUGUAAAAGAAUAAACGAUCGUAUGACCACCUUGUAUUGUAUCGUUGGGGUACCGGCCAAAGACUCACUAACCGUCAAGUUAGUAAGCAAUUUAUGAGACUCAAACAGUAUGCAAGAAAAUAGAGUAUGCGAUAAUUGCGUUAACCCUAGCAAGGUGUAUUAAUAUUUAAUACUAGUCGAGAGAGAGUCCUUUCAGGAUAUAAAAUCCGCAUUAAACCAAGAGAAUGCUAAAGGAUAUCUAGAAGUAAAUAUUGCAUCAUCUUAAAAGUGAGAAAUUUUUAGUUAUGACGGGAACACAAGUGGUACAUCACGUGUUUUAAUAGGAGUGGUGAAAAAUUUUAUUUUUUAAGUUAUUAACUUUUUAGCACACAUAUCCCAUCAUUUGUAUAGUGACACAUGGUGUUGUACCGGUCACAUUGAAAAAUCUCUCCUUAAAAGUAUGAUUACUUACAGCGCACAUCAAUCAUUUGACAAUAAAAAAUUAAGCAAUUGAAUGGUUUCAAUUUACUAGACAACAAAUUGUCCAAGUCCAACGAUCUACAAAAACGAUAACUCUAUAGCUACAAAAACAAAACCAGUAGAAAAAAGAAAUGAAGAAAGACAACGAACCUUGAUGCCUGCAAGGUUGUUCCUGUGAUUCGAUGAUCUAGGCUUCAUAAUAAUCUAAGGGUGUGUUUGUUUGGCCUUACUAACUUUCACUAGACUAGAUUGGAUUAGCUAAUAGUGAAAUUCCGUGUUUGUUGCGUGCACAGACUAAAGUUAAUGAAACUAAAGGGGAUUUGCUCCAACUAUCUCCCUCGCUACAAGGUCUUAGCGAGAGCCCCCCAAGCGCAUGGGACUGCUAAGCCCUUCAUUUGGUAUGUCCUUGUCUCCUCUCAUCCACUAUUUGUUCUUUGUUUUCUUGAGCACCGACAACCACCAUGACACCACCACUUCCAACUUUAGUGAGAUACACCGCUAGCCUAACACCACUUUCUCUCUCUCACCUCGAACCCAGAAUUUCGAACGAGGAAAAUCCCGCUCUAGCAGUCCUCCGAUUCACCUUCGAGGAAUAUCUCACUCUAGCACUCCUUGAUUCAAUUCCUCCGAGUUUCUAGAGGUUAAUCCCUUGAUUUCCUGUAAAAAAAAAAAAAAAAUUGGGGGGGGGGUGGUUAAUUUUGUUUGGUUAGUAGGAAAGCUGAGAAAUUGGUUUCUAUCGAGAUCCAAGGAAAGCAAGCAUCCUUGGCAAUUUUUGGUAGAAUUGUAGAUGAAGAAGAAACAAAACGAAAAGGCUUGAAUUUGUUGCAAGCAUUGAUGGACAAAAAGGGAAAAUUGGUGGUCUGGGAUUUAUUUAGGGAAAUAUGGAGAUCAUGCAGUUUAUGGAACUCUCUAGAUAGAGCCCGUGAAAAUAUCUGAAUCAAAAGUAAUAAAAUAAUUAAAAAGUAGUAAAAAAAUAUUUAGAUUCUAAAAAUAAUUUAGUCUGUGACUUGGUUCGACAUUGCACCAAACGUUUCACUAUUCUUGUCCUGCUUAGUCCAUGCCAAGCCAGUCCAGCUUAAUUCCUUAAGCUAGUCCAGUUCGAGAUAGUCCAUUGCAACAAAUGCACCCUAAAAGAUAAUUUUUAAUUCUUUGUAGGGCUUUUAAACCUCGUGCGGAAUGCAAAGAAAUUAUAUAUUGGAUGUUGGAAUCCCGAAAAUUAAAUAAAAACUAAAAACUACUGAUUAAAGCAUAUUAGGGAAAGGAAAGAAGAGAGCCACUUAAGGACUAGGAUGGGCAUGGCCCGUCCUGAUUUUUUUUUUUAAAAUUGAUUCAUAUAUAACCAGAUGGAGAGUACCAAUUGGUAACUUGAUCUUCCAAUGAUUAUCACUGACCCUCUAACAAUUGCAUGUCAUGAUUGAUCAAUUUUUAGUUGUGACGGGCAGGGGCGAAGCUAGGAUUUCUCGGGGGGAGGGGCAAACCUAAAAGAGUGAAAGGUUAAAGAAAAAUGGAAACAACUAAAUCUUUUUAUAUGGUAAUAUCUUCCAUAAUUAAUCAAAAUGUUUGAAGAAGGAUUUAAGCAUUGUUUCUUAUAGUAUCGUUCCAUUACGUAACUGUAAAAUGGAAAGAAAAAAAAUCUUAGAAUCUUAAUCCUAGAGUACACUAUACUAAUAUGCAUAAUAACUAGUCCAACUAACUAUUCAACCAAUCCAACCAAUUGCAUAAACUCCAAAUAAUUAACCCUAAUAUGCAUAAUAACUAAUCCAACCAACAAUUCAAUUAAUCAAUACCAAUAACUCAAUAAGCAUACAAAUUAUUCAAUAAAUAAAAAUUCAAUUCAACUAAACAUAUGAAUAAGAAUAAUUGUAUACAUUAUGGAAUAAUUCAAUUAAUUAAUUAAGAAUCAAGAAUUCAAAUUUUAAUUUUCACCCUAAAAAAUAAUUUCAUAUCAAUAAUCAUAGAAUCAUAUCAAUAAUCAAUAAUCAAUAACCAAUAACCAUAUUAUUAGUGCAUUACCAUAUGAUUUUAUACGAAUUAAAACUCAUUUGUAUUAAAUAAUUAAUUAGGGUUAGGGAUUAUAAAUUUAGGAAUUAAAAAAUUUACCUAAAGAAUGGCUUUAAUGCUGCAAGCCGCGGCUGGAGAUUGACUGGAGUGGCUGGCUGCGGCUGGUUUUCCGUCCAUUGGCUGCCAAAUUGUUGCGCAACUGCUGGGAAUUUGGGGGCAAGCUUUGUUCUCUGAUUGACAAGGGCAAAGUUGAAAAAGAAAAGGGGGAUAAGCACGGGUCUGAGGAGAGAAGAGGGACACGCGGUCCCUCCAUAUUUUUUUUCUUUUUCAAACUUAUCAAAACGACGCCGUUUGGUUUUUUUUUAUUUUUUAACCAGGUCUAAAACAACGUCGUUUUGGCCUAAACCAGCCCUUCAGGAUGGGCUAAACCAGUUGAGUUUCCGACAAGAUGAUGGGCUAAACCAGCCCUUCAGGCUUAUUUUUCCGGCGAUGGCAGUGGCGGCAACCACUCAUCGCCCCCACGUGGCUUCACCACUGGUGACAGGAACACAAGUGGUACACCACGUGUUUCAAUAAAAGUGAUGGGAGAUUUUAUUUUUUAAGUUAUUAACUUUUUAGCACACAUAUCCCAUCAUUUGUGUCACAUCCCGACCCGGACUCGACUCCGCUGUAGCACGAUAUUGUCUACUUUGGGCCUCGACCACGCCCUCACGGUUUUGUUUCUAGGAACUCACGCGAGUAGAAUUUCCCAGUGGGUCACCCAUACUAGGAUGUUCUGGCCCAUUCUCGCUUAAUUUCAGAGUUCCUAUGGAACCCUAAGCCAGUGAGCUCCCAAAAAGCCUCAUGUUAUAUGAAGCUAAACAUGUACAUAUAAGACAUAGAGGAUCCACUCCCUGGGCGAUGUGGGAUCUCACAAUCCACCCCCUUAGGGGCCCGACGUCCUCAUUAGCACACUUCCGGCCAAGGAUUGGCUCUGAUACCAAAUCGUCACAUCCUGUCCUGGGCUUCACUACAUCCUGGGAUCGACUUCUCUGUAGCACAAUAUUGUCCGCUUUGGGCUUUGACCACGCCCUCACAGUUUUGUUUUUGGGAACUCACAUUAGCAGAAUUUCCUAGUGGGUCACCCAUCUUGGGAUGCUCAAGCCCAUUCUCGCUUAACUUCGGAGUUCCUACGAAACCCAAAGCCAGUGAACUCCCAAAAGACCUUGUUCUAUAUGGAGGUGGACAUGUACAUAUAAGGCAUAGAGGAUCCACUCCCCUGGGCAAUAUGGGAUCUUAUAUCGAUCAACGGAGAGGGGGUGAUGUGCCUUAUAUGUACAUGCCCACCUCCAUAUAGCACGAGACCUUUUAGGAACUCACUGGCUUCAGAUUCUAUUGGAACUCCGAAGUUAAGCGAGUUUAGGUGAUAGCAUUCCCAGGAUAGAAGACCCACUGGGAAGUUCUCAUGUGAGUUCUCAGAAACAAAAUCGUGACGACAUGGUUGGGGCCCAAAGCGGACAAAUCGUGCUACAGCGGAGCCGGUCUGGGAUGUGACAGAAUGGUAUCAGAGCCACUUUGCCGUGUGGUGCGAGUGUGCUGACGAGGACGUCGAGCCCCUAAAGGGGGUGGAUUGUAACAUCCCACAUCGACCAACAGAAAGGGGGUGAUGUGCCUUAUAUGUACAUGCCCACCUCCAUAUAGCACAAGGCCUUUUGGGAACUCACUGGCUUCGGAUUCUAUUGGAACUCUGAAGUUAAGCGAGUUCGGGUGAGAGCACUCCCAGGAUGGGUGAUCCACUGGGAAGUUCUCGUGUGAGUUCCCAGAACAAAAUCGUGAAGGCGUGGUCGAAGCCCAAAGCGGACAAUAUUGUGUUACGACGGAGCCGGUCUGGGAUGUGACAUGACACGUGGUGUACCACCUCGUGUACUGAUCACACUGAAAAAUUUCUCGUCAUGAUGUCCCAAAUAGGAGAAUUUUUUUUUUGUGAUUAGAAUACGGGUGGUAUACCACGUGUUUUUAUGUAAGUUGUGAGAAAUUUUAUUUUUUAAGUUCUUAACUUUUUAACACACAUAUGCCACUAUUUAUAGAGUGACACGUAAUGUAUCAUCCCAUGUUUGGUCACAUUGAAAAAUCUCUCCUGGAGUGCCGUGCAUCUUUCUUUCUCAUGUCGUUAUUCUAUUUAAAAAGUCUUGUCUGGUUUGGCCUGUAAUUGUUGUUACUAUAGCAUUAUUGGAUUCGUGGAGUUCGAUAUCCCAAAUAGAACUCUCAGUUUAGCUAAGUAAUAUGGAUGAACCAAAUCACUCAAAGACUAGUCACUUCCACAAUUUUGUUCAAACAUGUUGGACAUCAAUCUUCCCUCCCUUCUCUGUAUUUUUUUCUAAUUUUCAUUCAUCAGUAAUUUUUAGGCUCAUGAAUCUAGAACUAAAAUAGAUAUAUAUUGUUCCAAUGAGCAAAAACAAAAUCAAAACAUUUUUCUCUCGCUUCUAAGACCCACUACUAAGAGAGGGAAGAUAAAGUUUACUUAUUAGGUUUACUUUUUUUCAUUAUGUCGCCAUUUUGUUGUCAAUAAAUGCCUACCGAGAAGAAGAACGCAUUGAAAUUGAUUGUGUUAAAUUGAAGUUAUUAUGAACUGUGAAAUUGUAAAGAAUUCUUCAUUUUACUCCGAGACCUUUAUUUUUAACUCAUCGAAACUCAAAAAACUAGGAGAUCAAUCAGAAGGGUAUGGAAUUCAUCUUCGGUUUGGUAGGCGAUGGCUUUGCCGUCAUGGCAACGGACACGUUGCCCGUGCACGGCAUACAGAAUCAUGGUGCUCUCCCACAAGCUUAUUGAAGCCAGCGCGUGCCUGGCGACAGGGUUCAGUUCAAGGAGUACAUACAGAAUAACGUGGCUUUGUAUCAGUUCCGUAAUGGGAUCCCAUUGACCACCGGUGCUGCUGCGUGCUGCUGCCAAUUUCACGUGGCAAGCUCGCCACUGCCCUGCGAAAGAACCCAUGCAUGGUGAACAUCUUGAUGGCUGGUUUCGAAAAGGAGGCGGGGGCAACCCUUUACUACGUCGACUACAUUGCCUCACUUCACAAGGUUGAGAAGGGAGCGUUGGGUCAUAUAAAUUUUGCACCCUCAUUAAUGGAUGGGCACUACCACAGUGGCAUGCCUGUGGAGAAAGCAAUUGACUCGAUCGACAAGUGCAUUGUUUAAGGUCCGGUCACAGCUGGUGGUUGCUCUGCCAAACUUUGUCAUCAAGAUAGUUGACAAGGAUGGGGCGAGGGAGCAGAGGCGGACCGACUUAGGGGCAAGGGGGUCAGCUGACCCUUCAACUGCUUUAUAAAAUGCGUUAGAAAUGUGUUGCAUCUUUACAGUCUAGUCCUCAUAUUAUUUACCUUUGGCUUGUUUGUUGGUUGUGAUUACAAUUGCAGGCAGAAAAAAUGAACCAAGUAAAAAACUAUCCAGAAAUGCAAAGUAAAUGAAAUAAUGAUCUCAGAUAAUAACAAAACAUCAUCAUUCUUGGACAAACAUAUUAAUGAGAUGCAAUGAUAUUAAACAUUGUUAGUGUGUUUAAGAUAAGUGUGUUUCUUUGUUAAGCAUUCAUAUGGGAGCAAUCUUGGAAUAUGUUAGUUACCCACGCAAAUGAGGCAUUAACAAGUGUGCAGUAUGCAUUUCCAAAUGACUUCAGGCCUACUCGAUGAAAUGACAAUAUGCAUGCUAUUUCAGUUAAAAAAAAUUUGCACUCUGCGCACACUAUUCUUACUAACCCCCUUAAUAUUAUUUCCUGAAUCCACUACCGACAGAGAGUAUGCGUGGCGGGAAUCCAUUAGGGAUGCCGGUGUUGUUACUGGUGCUGCAUGCUUUAGUAAUUAAUUAAUUUUAUGUAAUACUGGAUUAUUCAUUUUAUAAGUGGACACUGUUUCUGAAAAAAAAAACAAACAGAGAGAAAAUAAAAUGUUGUUUUGGUGCGUUCCAGUUGUUUUAUACGAAAGGGGCCAAGAACUAGUGGCACUAGCUAUCCGACUUCCAACUAGAGGUCGCCUCGUUUAUUUGAUACGGUAAAUAGUGUGGGGUACGUGAAGGACACAAAAGCAAAAGCAAUGGGACUAGUGGACGACCCCGGACAAGUCCUUAUUAAUGAUCCAAAACACUUUACUGUUAUUUUAUACUAAUUUAUACUAAGCAAGCUGAGGAAGAGUGUGAACCCUAGAAACUUCACAUUAUGACCAUUAGGUCAUUUGAAAUGUAUGUAAACCCUAGCAUUCUCACAUUACGACCAUGUAAUAUAUAAACAUUGCAUCCAACAUGUGAUAAAUUGGUUAUGUUCUUUUUUCACUUCUCACGCGAAUGUCUAGCUACUUCUAGUUCUUUUUUCUUUAACUGAUUGACUAAAUAAAAUAAGUAUUAUUAGUUGGUUUUAAAAAAACAUAUACCUUAGCAUAUCCUCACAUUGUGACUGUGGUAUGUAGACUUUCGGGUCGAACGUGUGGUAAUUGGCCAUCUUCCUUUCUCGCUCGUCAAGCGAUUAUCUCGUUCUGAUUAUCUAUUUGUGACACAUUUACCUUUAACUUUCAGAUUCAAUUGACCCUUUUCGUUUGCUAAAUGUCGUUAUCUUAUUUCUUCAAAGAGUGAAGCUAGUACAAGCCGCUAAAAUUGAAAAUAUAGGAAAAAUCUAAACCUAAAGAUCACCACAUAUUAAAAUAGCAGCAUAAACUAAAUCAAGCAGCAUCUCUCUACUCACAAACUACCGAUUUUAAUUAAUGUUCUGUUCUCUCAUCGAUCCAGAAAAAAAUACAGAUAAGGAGCAGAUAAUUCAAUCAAAGUGGGAUUCAUAAAUAUCAUGGAAUAUAAUAACAAAUAUUCUUCCACCUAAAUAAGUGCGAAAAGCCUGAAACCUCCAUCUCUUCUUCGAUCGAUACAAUCAACCCCAAUGAUUUCAAUCAAGUUAAUAUUAAGCACGGAAAGAGGGGGGGAAAAAAACUAAAUUUACCAAAUUUAGAAAGCAAUGAGAGCUCCAAGAACCAAAAGCGAAAUGGAAAACAAACCCAUGUUUCCUCCAAUCCCAGUCCUCAAAGACCCACUACCGCCGCCAGUGGUGUUAGUGGUGGAGCCACCGCCCGUGGUGGUGUUGGUAGUGGAAUUAGCUACCAAGGGCAAGGUCUCAUAGGACCUGAGAUUGGCGGGGGAGAAGUCAUGCUUUUCAGGGAAACCGGUGGUGGUGUUGACUCCGGGGCCCACCUGCCAGACGUGGUUGACGGACACCGCGUCUUUUUUGACCUUGACGGUGGCGAAGAUCAUGAAGGUGCCGCUGGAGAACUCGGCGCUGACGUCCCAGACGUCGAACGAGAGCUUUCCGGGAAUGAUGGAGGCGUAGGAGCUGAUGUUGUAGGUUGUGACGGUCGGGGUGCCGUUAGCAGUUAGGUGGGCCAGUAGGGCCUGGGACCCGGCCAUUCUUUCGGCUGUGGGGUUGAUGGCCCAGGCGACCCAGCCGUCGGUCUUGGCGGGGGCGGCGACGAAGGCAAUGGAGAGGGAGGAGUUGGAGCGGUCGUACGUCCAGUGGAGGUAGGAGCUGAGGACGGGGAGGUCGGAGCAGUUGGAGUAUAACUUGUUUUUGAAUGUCUGUGAGUUGCAGGUGGCUGCUUGUACGGCCGGCGAGAUUAGCAGAGCCAAUAGGAGGGAAAUGCAUGAAAUCUGGAGGAGAGAGAGAGGGAGAGAGGAAGCCAUUGGAGAGAGAUGAGGGCUUUGUGGAAAGAAAGAAAAAAGAGGGAGAGAGAGUGUGAU